UUGUAGGCAACUUUAUGUAGAUAUAUGCCUGCCAGAUAAUAUCACUCUUUCCUUCUCACACAUAUUCUAACUGGGCAGCAUGCCUCCAACUGUGUUCCACCCUGCAAGGCCUGGGCUCCCCAUGUUAAGAUUAGUUCUCUGAUUUGGCAGCUUAAAACAACACAAAUAUAUUAUCUUACAGUUCUGGAGGUUAGAGUUCCAGAAUGAAUUUCACUGGGCUAAAAUCAAGGUGCGGGUAGGGCUGGGGUUUUUUUUGUUGUUGUUGUUGUUGUUGGGUUUUUUUUUUUUUUUUUUUUUUUUUUUGAGGCUUUAGAAGAUAAUCCACUUAUUUGCCUCUUUCAGCUUCUGGAGGACCCUUCAUCGCUUGGCUUAUGGCCCUCUUCAUCCAUCUUCAAAGCCAGGAACAUUGCAUUUACUUGAACAUUCAUCUAUAGUCUCAUCUCCCUCUAGCCAUAGCCGAGAAAUGUUCUUCACUUUGAAGAAACCAUAUGGGUUGAAUUGUGGCCCCUCAAAAGAAUGCUGAGGAUGUGUUCCCAUGAGUUUCUCCCUCCUUGUACCCCACCGAAUGGAAUGUUAAAAAUACGGAGAAAGGUCAGUAUCAAGAAGACAUUUCUUAGAUAGCAUUGAUGCCGUGAUUAUUAGGGGGUGGGGGAAAGGUGUUUUGUUUGGGUUCUUUCUUCUGCCAUAGGUCCACUGUUCCUCUUACCCUUUUUCAGGAAAAUAAUUUAUUCUAAACCUGUUAUUCUAAACCUGUUUGUCUUCACUCUUAUUAUGGAUCUAAAUAGUAUCUAGAAAGUAUAGGUGUGAUGCUGUAUCUCACCACUAAGUGCUACGUUUUAAUACAAGUUACUCCAGCAUGAAAAUUCCUUACAUUAUAUUCUUAGCUACUUUAAAAAGUAAGGUAAAUGAACUUCUUUAUCAAUAUCUAAAUUAGAACUCAGGUAAAGUGAAUUUGCUUAAAGCAAGGAGCAAGGUAAAUUUAUUUAAAACAUGGGAACAUUUUAGUUAAAAUUCACAUUUCUAUCACCUCCUUCUAAAUGACAUUGUCAAAAUGCUUUCACAUGGCUUAUGGUUUCAUUUAUAAAGUAGCUAGAAAAAAGCCCAAUACUUAACCCUAAAUAGCUACUGAUUUGUUUUUGAGGUAACUGAGGCCGUACAGCCUUUAUAAAUU
This 1171-nucleotide long non-coding RNA is filed under the name Macaca nemestrina (pig-tailed macaque). RNAcentral describes it as "lncRNA (ENSMNEG00000046209.1)". Lineage: Eukaryota; Metazoa; Chordata; Mammalia; Primates; Cercopithecidae. The record is from RNAcentral.